Molecule: microRNA precursor, 103 nt
Filed under: Marmota monax (woodchuck)
Lineage: Eukaryota; Metazoa; Chordata; Mammalia; Rodentia; Sciuridae
Source: RNAcentral
AACACAAUUGCUAGAUUGUCUGGUAAGAGUAUACUUAAUUUUGUAAGAAUCCACCAAAUUGUCUUCCAAAGUGGCUGUACCAUUUUACAUUCCCACCAGUGAU